AUCGCAGUAGGAAUUGGAUGCAAAAAUCUGGGACUGGAUGGGAUUUAAAUGGCUUUGCUUCUAAAACAGAGUUGCUGUUUGCCUUCAAACAAAUGUCUGAAGUGAUAUUAUGAUACAAAAUCUACAAAGCUGUUGAAAGGAGAUGCAUUUCAAGUGUGCAGCUCUGGUGCCUCGAGAACAGAGCCUGAACCAGCUGCUUUGAAGAGAUCUUGGGACUGAAGGACUGAGCUGAGUAAUUUCUAAGGCAGCUCAUGACAACAGAGGAAAGAGCAGAUCAUGGCCCCAAAUCCUGCCCUGGAGCUGAGCAGGGCUCAAGGAGUGGCCCCGUGUGGAGAAGCAGAUGGAGCUCUGCAAACUAUCAGCAUGCUGGAUUUUAUGGAGCAUUUCUGGAGCUGAGGGACAACUGUCUGGGAAUUUCCAGGCGGCUCCAGGCCUUUCUCUCGGUGCCUUUGCAGCCAGCUCUGAUCUCUGCUCCCUCAGCUCCUGCCAGUGCCUCCGAGCCCUGCCUGGCUACACGUGUGCAGGUGGUAAAACACUGACUGCCAUGAACUUCAUCAGGAGAAAAAAAAAAAAGAAAAAAAAAAAAAAGAGGAAAAAGCUGUGGUUUGGAAGCAGCUGGAUGGCAAACUGCAGGCUGGGAAUGUGGCUGCCAAAACCACCACAAGGAGAGUAGGGCAUAGAGGCAUUUGUGGAGCAUUCUGUUUGCUAAUUGCUCAUGGAAUUUCAGAUUGAAAGAGAAGAAAGGAAUCUACCAGGUGGCUGCAUCUUGAAAAACAGGCCUUGCCUUCCUGUCCCAUUUUGCAGCAGUCCUGUGUGUGGGAGAAGUACAGCUGUGGGAUGCCUGAUGAACAGAGGUGCUUGAACAACUGGCCUUCAGCUCUGUCACCUUUUUUUGGUGCUUGCAAAAAAACCAAAAUGAAACAAAGCAAAACCAACCACACACACAAAAAAAGAUAAAAAAAUCCAAGCCAAAGAUAGUUUAUGUACAGCUCAGGAAGCUCUCAGCAAUGAGUGUGUCUGUGAUUUAAUAACACACCUACCCAAAAUGACACCUCUUCUACUACUCACUGAGAAAAAGAAGGCAAAGCUGCACACAGGGCACUGCUGUUGCAGCAACAAGCAGCCAAACUACCAGGUAUUUAUUUUUCAAUGUACACAAUUAUUGGGGGAGAAUAAAAAUUAUUCUUUGACACUCUGAGAGAGCCGUAAAAAGCCCUGUGCUUCCCCUACUCCCAUGGUCCUGGCAAGAGCCACCUCACAAAUUCUAAUAAAUAGAGAAUAGAAAUAAAUACUUUAACUACACAGCAUCGGGUUUCAAAUGGCUUCCUGAAUCAGAAAGUGCUGCUAGUCCAUCUUCCUUAUUUCCACACUCUGUAAUGGUGGCUCUCCAAAAGUCAAAGUGAGAUGGAUACUACAAGGAUCACAGACACUACACUGGGAAACCAAGUAUCAGUGGCUACAUCCAGAUUUAUGGUAGGUGAUGGCAGUAAAGUGAAAGUAAAACUGUUUGCACAGUCUGUAUUGUUGGCCAUUACUGUGUAUUUGCCCUUUUUUCUUGCUUAGCUGCAGCUGGAAGAAUGGAAAAUUGUACCUUCUCUACAGUAUUAGAAGACACUUUCUGAUCGUAAGGUCAAUCAGACUGGUUUAGCUGCUUGAGGUAUUUAUGGCACCAUCACUCAGUGUCUUUAAGGAAAGGUUAGAUACAUUUAUGGGAAAGGUAUUUUGCAGAAGCUUUCCUGCUUCAUAGAGGUCUUGGACAAAAUGACCCAGGAGGCCCCUUCCAAGUCUAUCAAAUGUGGUUCCCUGAUUGAUGCUGUUUCCCCCCAAAGUCUUUUCAAAACACAAAGCACUGUUAUAAAAUUUAAUAUGAUACACUAUAUAACUUUAACACAAUGCCAUUUUCUUAUAGGAAAUGGUUAGCUGGUAGCACAGGAGCCUCGUGCAACAGGAAAAAAAGGUAGAAAAAAGAAAUUGCAGUGCAGCUUCUCUGCUGAGGGAUAUCGACUGUAACAUUUACCCUGUGUCUGAGCGUGGACUCUCAGCUGUGCAGGGGGACACCAAGCCAGGGAAGGGUAUAAGGAACCCAGGCUUAUUUAUUUCUCCAGAAAAACCUGACAAGGCCUGAGGUAAUUUUCUGUGCUGUGCAAUAAUCAUUCCCUCAAUGCUGGGGAGCAAAUGGACACCCAGCUCUCCUUGUAAAUCACUGCCUGGUGCUGCACUGGCUGGGCAGAGGCAGAGCUGCCUGGGGAGCAGGAGAGGAGCUGGAGGCACAGGGCUGGAGCUCAGGUGUGUCCUGCACCUCUGAGAACACCCCUCAAGGAGAAGAGCUGAGCUCUGUAACUCAGCACUCUGUGCCAUGACCCUGGCCUGGCCUGCUGCCACCCCUGCUGCACCACGGAGCAGGGGAGUGAAUCCCUGAAAACUGGGAGUGCCAAAACUGCACUUCUAAAAAAGGGCAGCAGCACCCCUGGUAACGUGUUUGUCUGCUGAGUAAAGACUCAGCAAGAGAGCUUGGGCCACAUUUCCCCUGUCUGAAUACAAGAUUGUUUGUCAGGCAGAAUGCUCUCCAGGUCUUCUAUGUUUCCACCAAACCAUUCAGUAAAAUGAUAAUAUUCCUCUCCCUACUAUAUUUCCCUUUUUUUUUGUUUUUGUUUUAAUUUUCUGAAUGUUUCCUAAAUUGGCUUUUUUUUUCCUUAACCAUUAACAUAUUUAAAAAUUAAAGUCAUGUGAUGAUUUUAAAAAAAACAACAAGAAAAACCCAACCAGAUUCUCUGGGCCAUCUGGUUGAAAUGCUCUGGUCAGCCUCCACUGCUCUGUAGUAAGUUUUAAUUUUAGAUUUUCACAGGGGGAAAAAAAAGAAAGAAAAAAAUACCCAGAAUUUUAUUGAAUUGGAGUUUACUUUCAAAAUAAUUUUACACUAACCUUUUUAUUUUCACUCCAACUGAUUUAGUUAAAGGCCAAACUCUUCUUCUAAAAAUCAGCUCCCAGCCCCCAUCUUCUUGGGAUAGCCCUGACAGGAAAUAACAACAUCCAUACACAGACACUCUGAAGCCUUUUGAAGUCUCACAAAUGUGAGCUGUUCCCUUUUGCAGAGCAGGCUGGGAUUAACUCUUUUAUUAACCUUAUAACCUCAUCCAUGAGAAAAAAAAUUAGCCAAUCCCUUUUAUUUUAUUUCUUUUAAAAUCUGGAUGCAUGCUGCCUUCUCUACCCAAACAUUUGUGAGCUCACCCUACAGACAGGAGCAAAAGAGCCCUUGGAAAGCCCCCUCUCCCUGAGGAGCUCCCCAAAGCCCCCAUUGGGCCCUCCCAUUAUGUUGCACUCAGUGUCAAAUUUUGUGUUUUCACUGGAAAAUAUUUUCGCUUUACAGGAGGGUUGUGUCUCUGUGUAUUGGUGGGAGCAAAUAACAACCUUUUGGUCCUUUUCAACACAUUGCAUCAAUGUAUUUUCCUGAUUCUCAUGUCAAAAAAAGCAUCUUUUAGCAGAAUGAAAAAUCUGACCUGGGUGUAAUCCUGACAGUGCUCCAAUUGCUCAUCCUUAGCUUCAUCCCUGCACUGCAGUGCAGAGAAAGAGGCUCACAUUGGAAUAGCUCUUCUCACCAGUGUCAAAUGGUAAAAAUUUGCUCAGAGAGUGACAUGAGCAGGAAUUUCAAAGGCGGGAAAAUUUAUCUCCUGCUCUUUGUCUUACUCUAUGGUGCACUGUGGUGGUUGGAAGAUUUAAGUUCCAAGCAUCCCAUCUAUAUAAAUCCUAGUGGAAAACAACUCCCCAGAUUCUUUUUUUUAGGGUGUUGAGCUCAGCAGCUGGAAUCUGCCAGGGAAUGAUAGCCAAGAUAAGGAUGGAGAAAAACUUUCUGUGGCCUUCAGGUGUUGGUCAAGGGUCAGGAUUAGGGAACAGCCAAAGCCAAACAGAGCUCUGUGUGUCACACAAGGUCACAGCUCUUUAGUUUGGGGUUUGGGCCAGUCCUGCCCCUGCCCUGCUCGGCUCAGCCCAUUUACUGCUCUGGUGAUACAGCCCCUCCUGGGCUUUCUGCUUUUCAAAGGUUUACACUCGCUUUAAAUCUCAAUCAAAAGCUCCACUUUAGCUUUUAGGAGACCAAGACACUUACAAAUCUCCGGUGGGAAGGGCAAGUGAGGAAGGCAGAGUGCCUCUCCCUUGCAAAGGCAUUCAGACACCACUUGGAUGAGGAGUUCCCAGCUGCUUUGCUGGAUAAACAGACACAGCACAGUUCUAAUGUGCAGGGGUGCCCUUCACACCAACAGGCAGAGAAAAGAGGCAAUGGGAAGAGUAAGAGGCACCACAAUAAAAAAAGGCAGGAGUUCCAACUGAAAUUUUACCCUCUUUGAUUUUUGAAAAUGGGAAAACCCAUUCGGGAUCAGGGAUUUCCAGACUGGGCUGUAUGCACCAUUAAUUGUUCCAUGAAGCAGAGCUGGUCUGCUAUUGUUGCAUCCUCCAAAAACAGCUGUUACUAUGAGCUCUGUGGGACUCAGGAACUCCAUUUCCCAGUUUUCACUUAGUACUUCAGUGAUCAUACAUAAAUAAUAGUAAUGAUAAAAAUAACAAUACCUGGCUUGCCAUUAUGUUGUACGCGGUCUUUGUGAUACUCUCUCACGAUAAAAUCUGGGUAUUAAACACUUUAACUGAAACUCUUAAUAAAACAGAGAUAUUUUUACUUGUGCUGUUAUAUUCACAUUGUGAUCACAAAGCACUUUACAGAAUCAAAUGGAAGUAGCCAGUCUGAUCCUUGUAUAGAGGAUUUUGUGCAUCUCAGCAGUGUGUAACAAAGCUGCUGUACAGGCAAGUAGCUGUCAAACAUACCAUGUUUUGGGGUUUCUUCUGGCUGAGCAGCAUCCAAAAGCUUGGGGUUUGUGCUUCAGGUUGGCAUCAAAAUCUGUAAAGCCACCACAAAUUGCACAACAAGAGGGAAUGUAUGGUCUCAACAACUAGACAAGAACAGGCUGUGGUGUCUCAUUAUCAAGGUCCCUGGGUCUCAAAGGAAAAAGAAAAAAGGUUAUAAUUUUCCAGGUUUAGGAGAAAAGCCACGGAAGUCUUGGAGCUGAGCAGUGAGCAGCCUCCAUGGGGUCACUGCAAGGGGACAAGGCAAAUGCUCAUGGUAAAUGGUGCCUUCUGAGGUGUGAGAGGGUCUCCAGCUUUGGGCCCUGUACCAGGUACUUCUGGAGCUGUGAGACAGUGAGGGGCUUUGUUCCCUCCUGUAUAAUUGAUAAAUUACCAUUGUUAGCACUAAACAAUACAAGUGAGCACAGAAUGGAAACACGCUAAUGCUUUAUCCAGCUCCAGCAAUUCUGCUCCUGUGCUCACACUGUUCUUAAAUGUGCUAGGUAUUUGUUUGAUGAAACAAUAAGUUUUAGAAAAGAGAAAAAUAAGAACUUCAAAGAUAAUAAAAACCUUGGCUACAUACUUUACCACAGGCAGCUGUGAAUAAGCUUCAGUACUCUUUAUUUUUAACAUUCCAGAUAUGUAAUUUAAUGCAGGUCUAAUGACAAUCUCGAACAUGCUGCUUUAAUCGAAAUUGUUCAAGCUCUGUUCUGUGACAAGGGCUCACAAGAUACCAGCAGGGUUGUCCAUUUUCCCCACUUGUGUAGGGAAAAGAAAAAGGAGGGGAGGGGGACACUCUUGAACUUAUGUUGCUAUUGAUGUGUAAUAUACAAUAAAAAAACAGUUAAAUUUCAAUUACCCACAGGUAAUUAUAAUUUUAUUGUUUGACUGUACUAUGGGGAAUUUUGUAAUUCCCAAGACUAAUAAUUUUCUAUAAUUUUACAGGUUGUCAAAUAAACUAUUAAAGAUUAUCUUUGAAAAGGAUUCUGCAAUUGUAAGGACAUAUCAUACUGUUCCUGUACAUUAUUAGUAAUUAGAGAUCCCUGGAUAGUGAAAUAUCCACACUAUAUGCUAGCUGCUGGAUACCAUAUUUUCUCACAGCCUCCUGUAAUCUUGAACCAAAGCUUUCAAACUUCUCAGCCAUUGUAGCCUGAGUCACGUCCAAACUUUUAUUAAUAUUCACUGAGCACUCAUUAAGCAAUUCUGGUGUGUUCCAUCCAUUAAACCUGUGCUUCCUGACAGGGAAAAGCAAAGGCUCCCAGGUCCACCCCAGAGCACUGGAAACAAACACAAAAGGACUCAUUCUGAACUCUGUGCCCUGAAGAGGAGAUAGGGAAGAAGCAAAGUUUGUACCAGCACAGAAGAUGUGACUCUGCCCUGACAGUGCCUUCUGACAAUGAGUGGCUUGCACAAGAUGGAUUUUGCUUCCUGAUUUUAUCCUAAAAACAUGCAUAGAUGCAGAUAUGGUGGGGGUCAGCAUUGCAUGUCCACGAGGAAGGGAAUGGCAGGGGCAAGGUCUCCAGCCCACAAGAAGCAAAUGAACUGGGGGUAUGCCCUCAUGCUCAUCAGCAAGUCCCCCAGAUUUACUGGGCUGUUGGUGAGGAACUCCCCAGGCCAGUAGAUACCGACAUCUGCCCAGCUGAGCAGGCAGCAGCACCUUCCCCAGGUAAUCUGGGAGAAGCCGGAGGCACUAGAGCAGCAUGUGCUGGGUGACAGCAUCCCUUACCUGCACAGCGCUUGGUGAGAUCCUCCCAGCCUUGCAGGGCUGCAGUGCUGAGGAGGAGCGAGGAGGGAUGAGCUGAGAGGAAGAGCAGCCCCUGAAGCGUUGCAGGAGCAGCUGGCACAGCCUGUGAGGGCAGCGAGCUGGGGUUCAGCAGCUGAGAGAUGGCUGAGCUCUCGCCUGCAGAGCCAUCAAAGGCACCAUUCUUGGCUGGCAGCAUUGUUUAUUGCAGCUGCCCCAGGAGAUCAUCAUUAUUUGUUUGAUCAGCCUCUCAGAUGGCUGUGGGUGAGGGCUCUGUGCAGGGGGGACUUCACUGCCUUAAGAGCAGUCUCAGGACGUGGGGACUCUCAGGCUUCCACCCCAGGGUUUGCACAGCCCCAGACUGUGGGGACACGGAGCAGGAGCAGCCUCUCAGGGCUCUGGGCCCAUCUGCAGGGGGGAUUUGCCCUGUUCCCGGUGCCAGGAAGCCUCUGUGGCAGCUGCAGCGCUCAGCAAGGGGCCUGGGCAGGGAUUUCCCUCCCACCAGGGAGCCCAGGGUGGAUUGUGUUGGUUUUACGGCGUGGAGCUGGUGGAGCAGUAUAAAGAUACGGGAGCACAGGGAAGGAUUAAGGCCAAUGGACUGCAGCUCCCUGCCUGCCUCCAGAGACAACUUGGAGCCCAUCAAAGGUAUUAAAUCUGAGGAGCCACUGCAGACACACACGCUGAGCUCUUUUCCAAGGCCUGCUCGCCUUGCUGUCCAGAGCUCAUGUGGCACCUCUGGGAAGGUGUGGGAAGAAGGAAGAGUUGAUAAUUUGGAAAGCUCUUCACUCAGUGGCAUUCCCUGCUCCUGACCGGCCUCUCUGCCUGCUAACCCAGCUCACUGAGACUGAACCCAUUCCUGCAGAUGAUGGGCACUUACAAUAAAUAGAGGGAAAAUCCAGAGCCCACAGAGAAGGCUCAAUAUGCUUCUGGGUAACAGACAGCACCAUACACACACACAGAGCCCUCCUUCCCCUUAAUUCUGGUCUGUGCUUUUCCUGCUUAACACAUUCCUUGUUGCAAGGAGAACACGUUCUGACAACUGAAGAGUGAAAGCAAUUAGAAACAGAAUUAAUUGAUAAAACUAAAGCCCUGCUUUCCUUAUGUUUGUCAUAUGACUACAAAUAUUGUCACUCCCAUUAAUAUUAAUUAAUAUAAUUAUCAAUGUUUCUAAUCCCUACACAUUUUGUUGAAAAGUUACUCUUAGCUCAAGAAUAUAAUUGUUAAGUCGUGGAAAUGUUAAGUAGCAGCUAAGUAAGUCCAAAGAAUUAAUAGCAAACUGUAGUUUAUCCAGGGAUUAGACUUUUAGCAAUACAUAAUCACCUCUUCAUGUGUUCAUCCACAUAAAAUACCUUCCAUCCCUUACUACACUUCUGCCUACUUGUCCUUGCAGUGCACAGUUUUCAAUAAUUAAAAAAAAGACAGAAAGUAAAUAUUCUGUGCAGUUGCACGCUGUUCUUCAAGGUAAGUCACUGCACCAAGAGUUCUGUGCCCACAGCUGAGAGUAAAGUCAAGGUCAAUUAUCUCAGGCUGAAAGCCCAAAUGCAGGCUACUUCUGUGAUCAGAAUGAUCUGUGUAACACUGCAAAGCCUUUGUUUUGGAGUCAGGCAAAGCAACUCCUCUCUCUCCCAGCUUCCCCACGGAUUGUCUAUCAGUUGGACUGUCCCAGAUUAGUGGAAUAAUCCAAAACAACCCCAGCCCUGCCCUGCUGCUGCCAUGGAGCCGCCUCUCCUGGCGGGCGCUGCAGCAGAGCCUGCCCAGCCCCUGCACCGUUGUUCCUGCACGGACACUCGGCAGCUCCUGCCUGGCACAGCAGGCAGCAGGGCGAGGUGCAGCAUUCAUCAGCUCUUCUGGAAAACAGCCAAAGUGCUCUAAAGGCCUUUGUUGUAGGGUACAGGGGUGUUUCUGCUAGAAGAGAAUAAUGUAAUCAUUUUGCUAUUAAUUUUUAAUUGUAUGUUGCUCUGCAUUAUUACCAGUGUAUACUGAUUUUCCUGAGAGAAACGGGGAUGCUGUGCAAGUAGUUUCUGUUAGGAAUGCUGUUGGGCCACGCUGGAAAAGAAGUGACAGAAAAAAGCUGUUCUUCAAAGUUACUGCAGUCACCUGCUGCUGUCUAUUCCUACAAGGUAUCACAUUAAAUACUUAUAAAAUGUAUGAGCUCAAGAAGAUUCAUGGAGAACUGCCACAGUUUUCCCUGUUGUCAGGUGUUUUUCUUUGCUUGUUUUUGUGGAGGUUUUUUUCUUUUUUUUUAAUGGCCACCCUUUGUAAGGAAAAGUUACUUCUGAGAAAUAUUUUGCAAGCAAAUUAAACUCACUGAUGUGGAUGAAAUCAGUAGCAAGAGUAAGAAAUGCAUUAAUUCUUCUCAGAAGACAAUCUUUAUCAAAAAUGCUAAGAUGCAGCCCACUGAUACAGUUAAACUUUCUGGUAGAAACAUGAUUGUAUCACUCACUUGUGCCCACUCACAAAUCCUUCAUUUCAUCUAAGAGAAAACUGGCCAUGAGGGGACCGGAAAUCUUUAAUCUGCUUUUCUCCAUUUCUUCAAAUAUCUGGUUCUUAUCAAGCCGCAUCGAACACGAGCGACACAAAACCCUCAUGUCCUGCACUCCAUAAAACAAAUGCAAACAAAGCACAGACACGUCGGCAGUGUGAGCAGGAUAACAAAGUAUUGCAUGGCAGCAAGCCUGCAGAGCACUCCUGGAAAGGCAGCUCUGCCUGCACAUUCAGGAACAAGAAAUCAAUUAGACCAAGAAACAAGUUAUGCAGAAAAAUCUACACUUUGCCACUGACCUAAGUAUCAGGAGUAGGGUAAAAUCAGCUGUUCCCCCCAAUAUUUGAUUAUCCUUUGUAAAGAAAAAUCAUGGGUUUUUUUUGCUCUUGAAUCCCUAAUACUAAUUAUGCAUUACAAUAUAAUACUACUUGUAUUAUACCAUAUCCUAUAAUGUAUAAUCCCUAUAAUAAAUCACACUAUGAUAAAUAUUUUAACUAUAUAUUAAUGUAUUCAUAAAAUAAACAUGUAUAAAUAUAUAGUUAGCUUAAAUAACCAUAUACUACUAUGUGUUUAAAAUAAUUUUAUAAAUUAUUUUAUUUUUGGGCAGAUAUUCAAGGUUAGCUGUAAUUUUUUGGACAGCUGGGAAAUUCUGGUGAGAGUUUGCAAAGUUUGCACCUAAUUGAAUUAGCUUCAAAACAGAGAAAUAGGUGAUUUGAUAAAGAAGAAUUAGACACAUUAAAUUUUCAGUUAAAAAACACGAUUUUCUAUCUGGCCAGUUCUAAACUGCAGUUUUAGUCCUGGCAUAAGCCCAUGAUCAUCAGUGAAAAAUGUGCCUUCAUCUUCUCCAUAUCCAGUGCUGCAGGAUCUCCAGGGGUGACUCAGGAAAGCUCUGAAACAUUCACAGUAAGUCCAGUAAGCACUUUCCCAAAAAGUGAUUCUUUCCUGAGCUGGGGCCAAAAUAGGGCAAGUAAAGGGAAAACCAAAAAUGCAGACUGUGAAGCAACCUGCCCAUAAUUUCCAUCAAAUCAGAGAUUAAACCUCUUGCACAGUAGCCUCUUCUAGGGGGACUGCAUUCAUCAUUCCAGGAAUUAGUCUAACCAAGGCUUAUUAUUACUGCAAAACUUAAAAUACAGUAUGUUAUUAAUUUGGAUUAUGCUGUUGCUUCACAGCUUUGGAAAAACAAAACAAAAACUCCUGAAUUUGCAUUCACCUUUAGUAGCAAGGUUCUGUUCUCUGCCUGUUUGAGAUAUUUCUUUCCAUCUCCUGCACCAUCAUGUUUCAGUUCCUGAGAGCUGUAGAUAUUUAUUCAGUGCCCUUCUAUCUUGGCCAUCACAAACAGCUCUCUGAUAACAAAUCACACUCUCUGAGCAUCAUUUGCUACCAGAAAGGAUCCUCAAGGAGCACACGCUCUGUGACACAGGAUAUUCCCUGCUUUGCUGUGAAUGCCAUAAAGAGUUUCACAAAAUCAGCCUCCUUGCAUUGAGAGGGUAAGAAUGCAUCAUCUCAGUAGUUUUACCACUUCUUAUUGCCUGGUUAGGCUUCAUGCUUAGUCCCUGCUCCCUGGCUCUUCAAAUGAAUGCUGCUACUUAAACACAGAGAGCGAUAUGUGCUUAGUGAGAGACUCAAGGAUUUCAGCCAUCAAUAGAGGUUUAAUUAUGUGCUGGUGGAUGCUCAGGUACUACAACGAUGGCUGUUGUAUAAAUUGCACAAAGCCAGCACAGAAGAGACCACUCACAGCUCAUCCUACACUCUGCUCCUGCAAUUUAGACAAAAUAAAAUGUAAUGCAUGGUAUUAACUUGCAUCUUCUUCUUGCCUAUGUCAUAACCCAUCAUGUAAUGUGAUGUUAUUCCGUGUCGUGUCAUGAGUAACAUGAUGCAACACAAUGUCACACUUCAGGAAAUAUUACUGAGCAAGGGCUGAUUCUUGUUAGCAGUUCAGAAUGCGAGCCUCUGAUCCAAACAUAUUGUGGCUGUGGCUGAUGGGAAGGCAUCAAACUGAGAGCUGCGUUGGGCAAAUGUUUUUCUUCUCUGGCUUGGCCAGCAGAUGUCCAUUUGUCAGGUUUGGGUUCAAUUGAGAUUUCUUUGUCACGAGCACUUUCUCUUGUAAAAGAAAUAGCAAUUUUAUGGCAAGCCAAAUACUGAAAAGAAAAGCCCUUAGAAAUACAUAAUAAAUGUAUAUUAGCGAGACAGAAAAUUGGAAAAUGGCCACCUGCCAGCAGCCACAUAAAUUUUGGAGGCAAUGCAUUUUUCUGCCAUUAUGCAUUAUCACAGGAAUUGCAAAUAUUUAUUAAAAGUAUUAAAAUGGUGAGAAUGUUAAAUGUUUCCUUCAGUAGUGGAAAUUCACAGUGCCACAUAGAAGAUAGGAUAUUCUGAUACAAUGUUUAUUAAAAUGACUUCAUUUUAUUAGGCUGUCGUACACAAUAAAUGUGCAGGUACAGUUAACAAAAGAUCUAUUGUGGAUAUGGGAGAUUUGUGAGUAACACUUCAAAAAAAUAAUCUCUUCUGAACUCUAUUCAUAUAAAAAGCAUGCUACAAACUUUCAUUAACUUCCUUAGAACCAAUUAUUUUCUGAGCUUAUUUUCUUUUUCUGCCAUCCCCCUGUAUUUUGUUAGUCAAUUUGUUUACUCACGUUUUAAUGCUUAACAGGAUUAAAUGCAGUUUAUCUUUAAUUUAUAUACAAGUGAGCUGAGUGUAUAUGUGGAGCAGGCAACAAAAUAUGACGAUUAUUUUGGGGUUCAUUUACAGGUCUAAACAUGAAUGACUGUAAUAUAUUGGCACCUCAGUAUCUUUUCAUCCAUAAGCAAAACAAUAUUAAAAGAUCAGUGGGAGCUCCAUAAUAUUGAUUGAGAAGAAAAUCACAUUCUGGUUUUGCUCACAUUUUCUGCUGGGAUUAAUCACAGUGAUUUUGUUUCCAAGGUUUUGUUGCAGCAAGAUACAGACUCGGGCACACCCUGACGGGGUCACUUUGCUGGUUGGCUUUGCUGGGCCCUGAGCCCCUUCCAGCAGCCCCCGAGCACUGACGGGGACAGUGGCAUAGUCCCUGCAAAAACAGGAAUCUGCAGUGAAAGCAAGGAGGGUGGCUCUUGCCUUCACAACUGAAAGUGUCCUCAGAAUAGCUUCUAAAAGUCAUUUUUUAAUGUAAGAAAUGAGCAGAGAAAUAAGGAACCACUACUGAGAGUUUUUUUCUUACACAAGUGUUCCUCAAUUCCUUACAGUCCAUUAGGGAAGAGGUGGGAUUGGAGUCUAUGUUGUAGGCAGGGGGUGAAUAGAUCAAAGUUACAAGACCUCGGAUUUAUGGAGAGUCUCAUGCAAGGAAAAAUCUGCCUCUGGAAGAUAAAAUUUCAGAAAUAAAGGAUUUUUCUCUCUGCC
Molecule: non-coding RNA, 12422 nt
Organism: Zonotrichia albicollis (white-throated sparrow)
Lineage: Eukaryota; Metazoa; Chordata; Aves; Passeriformes; Passerellidae
Source: RefSeq, a predicted model, not a curated record